Molecule: ribosomal RNA, 432 nt
Filed under: uncultured bacterium
Lineage: Bacteria
Description: partial 16S ribosomal RNA
Rfam family: Bacterial small subunit ribosomal RNA
Source: RNAcentral
AACGAACGCUGGCGGCAUGCCUAACACAUGCAAGUCGAACGAGACCUUCGGGUCUAGUGGCGCACGGGUGCGUAACGCGUGGGAACCUGCCCUUAGGUUCGGAAUAACUCCCCGAAAGGGGUGCUAAUACCGGAUAAUGCCUUCGGACCAAAGAUUUAUCGCCUUUGGAUGGGCCCGCGUUGGAUUAGCUAGUUGGUAGGGUAAAAGCCUACCAAGGCGACGAUCCAUAGCUGGUCUGAGAGGAUGAUCAGCCACACUGGGACUGAGACACGGCCCAGACUCCUCGGGAGGCAGCAGUGGGGAAUAUUGGACAAUGGGCGAAAGCCUGAUCCAGCAAUGCCGCGUGAGUGAUGAAGGCCUUAGGGUUGUAAAGCUCUUUUACCCGGGAUGAUAAUGACAGUACCGGGAGAAUAAGCGCCGGCUAACUCCGUG